CACAGGAAACAGCUAUGACCAUGAUUACGCCAAGCUUGGUACCGAGCUCGGAUCCACUAGUAACGGCCGCCAGUGUGCUGGGAUAAAAGCUUACCAAGCCGACGAUCUGUAGCUGGUCUGAGAGGACGACCAGCCACACUGGGACUGAGACACGGCCCAGACUCCUACGGGAGGCAGCAGUGGGGAAUUUUGGACAAUGGGCGCAAGCCUGAUCCAGCCAUGCCGCGUGCAGGAUGAAGGCCUUCGGGUUGUAAACUGCUUUUGUACGGAACGAAAAGACUCUGGUUAAUACCUGGGGUCCAUGACGGUACCGUAAGAAUAAGCACCGGCUAA
RNAcentral lists this ribosomal RNA (333 nucleotides) under uncultured organism. RNAcentral's name for it is "bacterial SSU rRNA". It matches the Rfam family "Bacterial small subunit ribosomal RNA", at positions 158 to 500 of the family's 1533-position model. The record is from RNAcentral.